GACGAACGCUGGCGGCGUGCUUAACACAUGCAAGUCGAACGGAAAGGCCCUGCUUUUGUGGGGUGCUCGAGUGGCGAACGGGUGAGUAACACGUGAGUAACCUGCCCUUGACUUUGGGAUAACUUCAGGAAACUGGGGCUAAUACCGGAUAGGAGCUCCUGCUGCAUGGUGGGGGUUGGAAAGUUUCGGCGGUUGGGGAUGGACUCGCGGCUUAUCAGCUUGUUGGUGGGGUAGUGGCUUACCGAGGCUUUGACGGGUAGCCGGCCUGAGAGGGUGACCGGCCACAUUGGGACUGAGAUACGGCCCAGACUCCUACGGGAGGCAGCAGUGGGGAAUAUUGCACAAUGGGCGGAAGCCUGAUGCAGCAACGCCGCGUGCGGGAUGACGGCCUUCGGGUUGUAAACCGCUUUCGCCUGUGACGAAGCGUGAGUGACGGUAAUGGGUAAAGAAGCACCGGCUAACCACGUG
RNAcentral lists this ribosomal RNA (468 nucleotides) under uncultured bacterium. Its description in RNAcentral is "partial 16S ribosomal RNA". It matches the Rfam family "Bacterial small subunit ribosomal RNA", at positions 28 to 507 of the family's 1533-position model. The record is from RNAcentral.